Molecule: ribosomal RNA, 253 nt
Filed under: uncultured bacterium
Lineage: Bacteria
Description: partial 16S ribosomal RNA
Rfam family: Bacterial small subunit ribosomal RNA
Source: RNAcentral
UACAGAGGUGGCAAGCGUUGUUCGGAAUCAUUGGGCGUAAAGCGCGUGUAGGCGGCUUCGUAAGUCCGUUGUGAAAGUCCAGGGCUCAACCCUGGAAUGCCGAUGGAUACUGCGGAGCUAGAGUCCGGAAGAGGCGAGUGGAAUUCCUGGUGUAGCGGUGAAAUGCGCAGAUAUCAGGAGGAACACCAAUGGCGAAGGCAGCUCGCUGGGACGGUACUGACGCUGAGACGCGAAAGCGUGGGGAGCAAACAGG